This 423-nucleotide ribosomal RNA is filed under the name uncultured Methanosaeta sp. RNAcentral describes it as "bacterial SSU rRNA". It matches the Rfam family "Archaeal small subunit ribosomal RNA", at positions 918 to 1338 of the family's 1478-position model. The record is from RNAcentral. Lineage: Archaea; Methanobacteriati; Methanobacteriota; Methanomicrobia; Methanotrichales; Methanotrichaceae.
CCGGAAAUCUUACCGGGACCGACAGCUAAUAUGAAGGCCAGGCUGAAGACUUUGUCCGGAUUAGCUGAGAGGUGGUGCAUGGCCGUCGUCAGUUCGUACUGUGAAGCAUCCCUGUUAAGUCAGGCAACGAGCGAGACCCACGCCCACAGUUGCCAGCGUACUCUCUGGAGUGACGGGUACACUGUGGGACCGCCGCUGCUAAAGCGGAGGAAGGAAUGGGCAACGGUAGGUCAGUAUGCCCCGAAUAUCCCGGGCUACACGCGAGCUACAAUGGUUGGUACAAUGGGUAUCUACCCCGAAAGGGGACGGGAAUCUCCUAAAACCAAUCUUAGUUCGGAUUGAGGGCUGCAACUCGCCCUCAUGAAGCUGGAAUCCGUAGUAAUCGCGUUUCAACAGAACGCGGUGAAUACGUCCCUGCUCCUU